CUGAUCCAGCCAUGCCGCGUGCAGGAUGACGGCCCUAUGGGUUGUAAACUGCUUUUAUACGGGAAGAAACGCACCUACGUGUAGGUGUCUGACGGUACCGUAAGAAUAAGGACCGGCUAACUCCGUGCCAGCAGCCGCGGUAAUACGGAGGGUCCGAGCGUUAUCCGGAAUCAUUGGGUUUAAAGGGUCCGUAGGCGGGCCUGUAAGUCAGGGGUGAAAGUUUGUGGCUCAACCAUAAAAUUGCCUUUGAUACUGCAGGUCUUGAGUCAUGGUGGGGUCGCCGGAACAUGUGGUGUAGCGGUGAAAUGCAUAGAUAUCACAUAGAACACCGAUCGCGAAGGCAGGUGACCAACCAUGUACUGACGCUGAUGGACGAAAGCGUGGGUAGCGAACGGGAUUAGAUACCCCGGUAGUCCACGCCGUAAACGAUGGAUACUAGCUGUGGGGACUUCGGUCUCCGUGGCCAAGCGAAAGUGAUAAGUAUCCCACCUGGGGAGUACGUUCGCAAGAAUG
This 513-nucleotide ribosomal RNA is filed under the name uncultured bacterium. Its description in RNAcentral is "bacterial SSU rRNA". It matches the Rfam family "Bacterial small subunit ribosomal RNA", at positions 383 to 896 of the family's 1533-position model. The record is from RNAcentral.